RNAcentral lists this ribosomal RNA (274 nucleotides) under uncultured bacterium. RNAcentral describes it as "partial 16S ribosomal RNA". It matches the Rfam family "Bacterial small subunit ribosomal RNA", at positions 523 to 796 of the family's 1533-position model. The record is from RNAcentral.
AUACGGAGGGUGCAAACGUUGUUCGGAAUUACUGGGCGUAAAGCGCGCGUAGGCGGCUUGUUAAGUCAGAUGUGAAAGUCCACAGCUCAACUGUGGAAGUGCAUUUGAAACUGGCAGGCUUGAGUACUGGAGGGGAUGGUGGAAUUCCCGGUGUAGAGGUGAAAUUCGUAGAUAUCGGGAGGAAUACUGGUGGCGAAGGCGACCAUCUGGCCAGAUUCUGACGCUGAGGUGCGAAAGCGUGGGGAGCAAACAGGAUUAGAAACCCGGGUAGUCC